ACGACUCUCGGCAACGGAUAUCUCGGCUCUCGCAUCGAUGAAGAACGCAGCGAAAUGCGAUACUUGGUGUGAAUUGCAGAAUCCCGUGAACCAUCGAGUUUUUGAACGCAAGUUGCGCCUAAAGCCUCUGGCCGAAGGCACGUCUGCCUGGGUGUCACACAACAU
Molecule: ribosomal RNA, 165 nt
Filed under: Croton malvaviscifolius
Lineage: Eukaryota; Viridiplantae; Streptophyta; Magnoliopsida; Malpighiales; Euphorbiaceae
Description: 5.8S ribosomal RNA
Rfam family: 5.8S ribosomal RNA
About the family: 5.8S ribosomal RNA (5.8S rRNA) is a component of the large subunit of the eukaryotic ribosome. It is transcribed by RNA polymerase I as part of the 45S precursor that also contains 18S and 28S rRNA.
Source: RNAcentral